This 441-nucleotide ribosomal RNA is filed under the name uncultured bacterium. RNAcentral describes it as "partial 16S ribosomal RNA". It matches the Rfam family "Bacterial small subunit ribosomal RNA", at positions 338 to 795 of the family's 1533-position model. The record is from RNAcentral.
CCUACGGGAGGCAGCAGUGGGGGAUAUUGCACAAUGGGGGAAACCCUGAUGCAGCGACGCCGCGUGGGUGAAGAAGUAUUUCGGUAUGUAAAGCCCUAUCAGCAGGGAAGAAAGAAGACGGUACCUGACUAAGAAGCCCCGGCUAACUACGUGCCAGCAGCCGCGGUAAUACGUAGGGGGCGAGCGUUAUCCGGAUUCACUGGGGGUAAAGGGAGCGUAGACGGCCGUGCAAGCCAGGAGUGAAAGCCCGGGGCCCAACCCCGGGACUGCUCUUGGAACUGUGCGGCUGGAGUGCGGGAGGGGCAGGCGGAAUUCCUGGUGUAGCGGUGAAAUGCGUAGAUAGCAGGAGGAACACCGGCGGCGAAGGCGGCCUGCUGGACCGCGACUGACGUUGAGGCUCGAAAGCGUGGGGAGCGAACAGGAUUAGAUACCCGGGUAGUC